Molecule: ribosomal RNA, 253 nt
Filed under: uncultured bacterium
Lineage: Bacteria
Description: partial 16S ribosomal RNA
Rfam family: Bacterial small subunit ribosomal RNA
Source: RNAcentral
UACGAAGGGGGCUAGCGUUGUUCGGAAUUACUGGGCGUAAAGCGCACGUAGGCGGAUACUUAAGUUAGGGAUGAAAUCCCAGAGCUCAACUCUGGAACUGCCUCUAAUACUGGGUAUCUCGAGUUCGAGAGAGGUGAGUGGAAUUCCGAGUGUAGAGGUGAAAUUCGUAGAUAUUCGGAGGAACACCAGUGGCGAAGGCGGCUCACUGGCUCGAUACUGACGCUGAGGUGCGAAAGCGUGGGGAGCAAACAGG